GCGACAUUGUUGACGAGAGUCGAAGCGCCAAACGGUCGAAAGUUUUCCGUUGCCGUCGUAACCAGGGAGCCGCAAGUAAUGAACGGUAAUGUUCAAAAUAUUACAUUUUACCGUCAACAAUGGACCUGCAUCAUUCGUCGUGUUGGGAGGCCAUUCUGGAGAAAGUGAAACCGCAUAUACCGACUAUGGACUUUGAUUCGUCAUCACAGUCUGAGAAUGAAGAGAUUGCCACAAUAUAUCAAAGGCCCGCUGGUCUUUCCUUGACUGUCUCUGAGGACUUUGACCUACUCUCAAUGGAUGACGAUCAUCUAGAGCGGCUGUGGAAACCUGUAGCUCCGACCCGCAGGACAGAAGAGAGUGAGCAAUUGGAUGGCGAUGAAAAUGUGGAAGGCUCUACUGUCACGCAACGACAACUCGCUGAUGUCCAGGGAGACGCUCCUCAGACGGGCCUCGUGGAGUCAGAUGCCUCCGUGAGACCAAACAACACACAAACAACAACAACAACAGCUGAUCAGCAAUUGACCGUUCUGUCAUUGGCAAGGUUUGACCAGUGGGACUUGGACGAUGUUCUCAAAAAUCUGGACCGGCUACCUCUGCAACAACAUGUGUCAGUUGAACCGCUGGAAACACAUGCAGAUGGCGACAAGGAGAAAUCCGAAGCAAUCAUAAUGGAGAGACUAGUUGCUUUUUGUGACAUCCAGUCAUCGAAGAAUGAGUCAGAGCCGAUGGAAAGUCCAAACCACAUCAAGCAUACCAAUGUGGGGGAAAAGUCAUCGGGGAGUUUGGAAGACGAGCUGCGGCCGAGGCAGAAGGAAUGUCCCACUGUUUACAUUGACCUGCGUUGCUCUGAUUCUUCAAUAAAAUCACCAAGAACAUCCCCAAAUCCUCCAUCAGAGUCCAAGUCACCAGCCAAACGCAGCAAGCACCACGAAACCCCAAAGAAAGUCAAUCUUAAAGUGCAUCAUGCAUCAUGCACGGAUGACAGAGAAGUGACUGGAAAGAAUAAGCUGCUUCAGAAGAUCAGGGAGAUGAAGGGAAAUGGAGAUAGAUAUCCCAACGAAUGUAUGGACCCAUCUCAUUCAGUGCCAGAGAAUGUACUGGAAAAACUGAACGCGGCGCAACCGCAGGCUGCAGAGUCUGCGUGUGGACAGGAGACACACAAACAGGGGGGAGACAAUCAAUCUUCUUAUGUGCAGUUUGGAUACAGAAUGACUGAAAUGGAAACCCCACCUACAUCUCAGCAAGGACCAAUCAAAAAACCGGAGCAGCAGAGUGACCAACAGAGACCAGAAGUUAAGCAGACAAAUGCACGUGAGCAACACCAACAUAUUCCUGAGCAACUGGAAAGACAUCGUCCACUCAAAUCGAAAAGGAACAAAGACAUCCAUACACCUUUCUACAACCACGUCUGCAGCUUCCUCACUGAGACCUCGCUCCCUCUGAUCGCCAGCUGGGUACCGGCGGUCAGAAACCUGCUGGACCAACAAGCCUUCGCCUCCCCCAUCCAUCUGCCUUCAUGCAGUCUAAACGGUUUCAUCUCCACCACUUCCAACAAAAAGGUUAUUGACAGGACAUUUGGUCUCGACCCCGGCUUUUACUGGCAGACUCUGGAAACUCCGGAGCAUGUUUGCAGGGGGAGAGAGACCACACAAGCGCUGCACACGGAAGUAUCUGUCGCUGUGGGGUGCGAAGCAUUCAUCCUCCAUCCUGUCAUAACACACUACACCCUCCAACUGGUUCUUGAUUCGGGGCUCGAUGUGUGUGGUCUGCGGCUCCUUUAUCCAACACGGGAGUUCCUGAGUGAUAGGGCUGGUGCUGGACCAGUUCUUCAGAGAGCCGGUGCGACCUGCCAGCCUGUCCUGGCCCUUGCUGUGCGGGGCCUUCGUGCCCACUCCGUGUUGAGCGAUCUGACGAGUUCCUCGGACCCUCUGGUGCCCGGAGGGACCGACCCUCUGGAGCCUCCUCUCUUCUUCUCCUCUCGACCGGCCAGCCAGGUGCACAGGGAGCUGUGCUUGUGGUUUUCAGGAAGAGUUAGCCCUUACAACCGGCUCCCGAGCAGGGUUGUUCCCUCGAAUGAGCGAAGAGGAGUCUUUCUGUGCGCCACAACGAAAAUGCUGGCAGUGUGUGAACGCAGAGGCUUCGGCCUGGGGGGGCUGGGGGGGCUGCGGCUUCAGAGCAACGGCGCUGCAGACCUGGGACUCUCCGAGCAGCAGGCUCGAGUGUUCUGCAUUCCACGCCGGGGUCAGCUGGAGCUGCUCCCUCCCUGUCUGGUGUUGUUACUGAGGAAAGAAAAUGCUGUGCACCACACUGUUUGUCUGCCAGCAGCCCUGAUGAGAGAAUUUAAGACACCAAAGCUUCUGGGUCGCAUCCGGUCCAGAGUCGAUGGGGUUCGGGCAGCGGAGCCCAGCUUGUGUUUCCACACUGCGCCUUACAGCAGCAACCUGUACCACGUCUUUGGACACAAGACGCGGCCUGAGCCUCUUGCACAGAGUGCUGACAGAGGAGCCAGAAGGAUUCCAGCUGCUCGGCCUGAAGUGGCUGCCUGCGUUGACUCGGCUUCAGGCUCGGGAGCUGAAUCCACACGAAGUGGGGCAGCAGCUCUUUCAAGACAGCGUGGGCCAUCUGAUGCCCCGUCCUGCCCUAGUGUGUGCUCUUAA
Molecule: long non-coding RNA, 2657 nt
Organism: Gasterosteus aculeatus (three-spined stickleback)
Lineage: Eukaryota; Metazoa; Chordata; Actinopteri; Perciformes; Gasterosteidae
Source: Ensembl